AUUGAACGCUGGCGGCAUGCUUUACACAUGCAAGUCGAACGGCAGCGCGGGCUUCGGCCUGGCGGCGAGUGGCGAACGGGUGAGUAAUACAUCGGAACGUGCCCAGUAGUGGGGGAUAGCUCGGCGAAAGCCGGAUUAAUACCGCAUACGACCUGAGGGUGAAAGCGGGGGAUCUUCGGACCUCGCGCUAUUGGAGCGGCCGAUGGCAGAUUAGCUAGUUGGUGGGGUAAAGGCCUACCAAGGCGACGAUCUGUAGCUGGUCUGAGAGGACGACCAGCCACCACUGGACCUGGGCACCGCCCCAGACCCUUAGGGGAGGCAGAAGGGGGAAUUUUGGACAAUGGGCGAAAGCCUGAUCCAGCAAUGCCGCGUGUGUGAUGAAGGCCUUCGGGUUGUAAAGCACUUUUGGCGGGAACGAAAAGGACUGUGCCAAUACCACGGUUCGAUGACGGUACCCGCAGAAUAAGCACCGGCUAACUACGUG
RNAcentral lists this ribosomal RNA (484 nucleotides) under uncultured bacterium. Its description in RNAcentral is "partial 16S ribosomal RNA". It matches the Rfam family "Bacterial small subunit ribosomal RNA", at positions 29 to 507 of the family's 1533-position model. The record is from RNAcentral.